Molecule: non-coding RNA, 102 nt
Organism: Acanthosepion pharaonis
Lineage: Eukaryota; Metazoa; Mollusca; Cephalopoda; Sepiida; Sepiidae
Source: the annotation of a GenBank genome assembly
UUACGGCCAUAUCAACUUGAUACACCGGUUCUCGUCCGAUCACCGAAGUUAAGCAACGUUGAUCCUAGACUGUACAUAGGUGUGUGAACCUUGCGAAUACCU